GCCUUCCGAAUUGUAGUCUAGAAAGGCGCCAUCGGCCGCGUCCGUCGCUCAAAUCCCUUGGAACGGGGUAUCGGAGAAGGUGAGAAUCCUGUGCCGUGGCGGAUAGCGGUCGCACGAUGCGUCCUUGUCGAGUCGGGUUGCUUGGGAUUGCAGCUUGAAGUGGGUGGUAAAUUCCAUCUAAAGCUAAAUACUGGCGAGAGACCGAUAGCGAACAAGUACCGUGAGGGAAAGAUGCAAAGAACUUUGAAAAGAGAGUUAAAGAGUGCUUGAAAUCGGCAAGAGGAAACCCGUUUGCGCCCGGCCUCGCGUCGUCGACUCAGCCGUUCUUUUGAGCGGUGCACUUUGUCGUCGCGGGUCAGCGUUCGCUCUUUCGGCGUGACACGGCGUACCGCAGGGCCUUUUGGCGAUCGGUUCGCACUCUCGCGGGAGGGGCGUUAGCUGACGGAACGGGCGCAACCGACCCGUCUAGAAACACGGACCAAGGAGUCUGACACGUGUGCGAGUACCCGGGUGGCAAGCCCGCGUGCGUAAUGAAAGUGAAGGGCGUGCCCCGCCAACCGACCUUGAUCUUCUGUGAAGGGUUUGAGUGUAGCACAUGCGUCGGGACCCGAAAGAUGGUGAACUAUGCCUGAGGAGGGUGAAGCCAGAGGAAACUCUGGUGGAGGCUCGUAGCGAUACUGACGUGCAAAUCGUUCGUCGAACUUGGGUAUAGGGGCGAAAGACUAAUCGAACCAUCUAGUAGCUGGUUCCCUCCGAAGUUUCCCUCAGGAUAGCUUGAACGCCGACGGUUUUGU
RNAcentral lists this ribosomal RNA (794 nucleotides) under Haptophyta environmental samples. RNAcentral describes it as "eukaryotic LSU rRNA". It matches the Rfam family "Eukaryotic large subunit ribosomal RNA", at positions 133 to 1004 of the family's 3401-position model. Lineage: Eukaryota; Haptophyta. The record is from RNAcentral.